CAAAAACAAGUUCCAUCUGAGUAGUCCAUAUAAACCUUAUUAUUUGGUACAUCCGAUAAAGCUCCGAGUAGGAGCAAAUAUAUGCUUCAUUAAACAACAAAAAGUUUAUAGGUAAUAGAGAGAAGGUCACUAAUCUGAUUGGUUGGAUGAUUGUGUGGAGCAGGAAGUCCCCUUAUAAAUUGGAUCACAAUAGACCACCACUCCAUCAGUUGCUUCUGUCUUGGACUCCGCUGCCCCUGGCUGAACACUAACCACUUCAAACUGAUCUUUCAAGAGUAGAUAACAUCUGUAAAUUUAAAACAAACUGCAUCAAGAUUAUGUACACAGCAUGAACUAGAUAACAAGAGUGAUGCAGGACAUGGAUUGAUGAAGGAAUAAAGGAGAACAAAAAAAAAAAAAUUAAAAAAGGCUUAAAAAGCACAAAUCACAAAGGCUUGAAACCAGUAUAAUCAAUUCAAUGAAUAAUAAUGAUGAGUUACAUCAGUUUCUAGUCUAGGGGUUAACAAACCUACAACUUGAACAUCAAGAAAAAUCCUAAUAUUAUAUAUGUAACUUAAAUUUAAGAGGAAAACAAAUCCUGAAUAAUAAUCUACUAUAAUUAAAAAGUCUAGAAUAAUUAACCUGAUAACAUAAAGGGAAAAUAACAUAUAGUGUGUCACUCUAGAUAGGUUAUCUAGAGGAUCAAGACAAGCAAAAAAGACGUAGUAUAGAUUAGUGAAUGACACAUUUGUAAAUAUGUCCAUUUGAUUUUUGAUUGAUUGAAUGUCAACAUAUUUACAAAGGUGUCGCUCACUAAUUUAAGCUACACGUCGUUUUGCAUGUUCUACUAGAUAACUUAUCUAAGUAACACACAAUAUGUUACCCUAUAAUAGACGAUAACAAAUUAUUACAAUCACUUUAUAUCUAAACAAAACAUAAAAUAUUCAAUAACAAUAUUAACUAAUUGCUUGGUCUCAUCCUCAUCAUUUUUAUCUUCUUUAAAAAAUGUAUUAAAAAAUUAUAAAAACAAAAAAGGAUGAAGAAGAAGAAAGAAAAAACCCGUCCUCGAGUUUUAAAGUAUGGGAGAAUCUAUAAGCCAUAAAAUGGAAUCCAAAUAUGAGAUAAAGCUUGAAACCAGUGAUCUCUUGGAAGCCAUAAAUAUACGUCUUCUCAACAUUUCCUCAUUGAAGUUGUCAGGUAUGAUGAAGCCAAUGCGUUGAAAGCUUAAAUGUUUCAUAUAUCAAUUUUAAAUGAGGAUUUUGCUAUCUCAACACAUUCAUUUGCUUCUUCGGUUUUAGUUUUAACAACGUUAAUCUUUGAUUAUUUCUUCAACUUCAACUUUUUCUUCAGCCUCUCAUAUUUUUUCAGCUUCGAGUUUGUCCAUGCUCUCCUUCGAUAUUUUUUGCAAAAUUCUGAAGAGCCCAUACUUUUUGGUUGCCUCAGCAUCGCUUUUAAAUGUUAUUCAUAAUUUCCCUCCCACACAGACACAAAAUUAAGCAUAUAUUUUUCUAUUUACAAUUUCUGUUUUUCAUGAAAAAUAUGCCUGCGUAUCUCAAGUAUGGCAAUCAUUGGCUUGUGGUCGUCUUUUAUGGAUAGAGUUUGAUGAACCAAAUAAGGAUAUAAUUAUAUUUUUGGUCUUGAACAAAAUACAAAAGAGAAUAGCACUUGGAUGUUUCCUCAUAACGUGUCUUUAAAGCUUCAAGGCUUUGUUCAUCUUAUUGUAGAGUGUAGUGUAGCACACACUCCCGUAACUAAAUUGUUAUCUGAAACGUGGUUAGUUUCAGUUCAUAAAACCGAUACGGGUAUGAGGUGCGCUACAAAGGCUAAAACGUGUAUGUGAUGACAGCUUUAUGUUGGUGCUUAUAUUUAGGAACUCUUAGAAUCUAAUAUAACUAAAUAAAAAAAAAUUAGUUGAACCAACAAGUAAAUUGUUUAAUAAACAGCAUCAUUGUUUGAGCAUCUAAUAUUAAGUUAACAUAUUGAUAUUUUUGCAACUAUAGGUAAUACAAAAAAAUAAUAUUUCGGUAUGCUAAAUUUAGGGGGUGUUUGUUACAGAUCAUGAAAGAUACCCGUCAAAACUCAGAUUACUACGUAUUUGAUUACUGCCUACUGGUAAUGGAAACUGGUCAAUUUUCGUUUGGUGAAAGUUAUUUGAUUACCAAUAAUUGUUAUUAGUGAGUGUUUGGUAAGAAUUCAAGAUUACAAGGUAUAUUUUUUGUUAACAAUCGUCUUUUUCUAAAAUGUCCCAUAUACUAAUUUAUGUCAAAUAAUUCACUAAAUGGAUUCUUGCCAAAUGGAAUUCAACGAUCAAAACAAUCCAAAUAAUUAAUUCACUAAAAUUUAAUGACACGUAUUAAAUAUUUUAUUAGUUUAUAAAAUAAUAACUCAUAAUAUAUUCAAUUAUUAAAUUAAAAAUAUUAAUUAAUUAAGUCAAUUAAGAACAUAAAUAUAUUAAACUUAUAAUAAUAAACAACAAAAUAAGACGAACAAGAACAUAAGGAUAUUUAUGUCCAAAUAAUUAAAAUAAAAAAGAGUACAUUUGAUAUAUAUGAAUAUUCACUUGGUAAAUAUUUUGUAUUUGUGAUAAAUAAUGAUAUUUAUGCUUAAAUUACUAAAAUAUGAGAGAUAUCGUUGUCGAUAUAAAGAUAUCAAGAUGGUCAACAUGUGGUAAUUUAAAAUUAUCACCUAUUUUUUGGUCAUCCAAAUACCCACCUCAAGUGGAAAAUCUUGACACUUUACCAGAUCUAAGGAUUACCAAGAAUAUAAAAUUACCAAGAUAACAAACAAGAUUUACAAGGAUGACCGACUCAAAUUACAGCAUAUCCAAGAUGACCAUUUCAAAUGACUUGUAACAAACGUCCCCUUAAUAUGUAAGAGUAUCAUGCUUGGGUACACAAGUACCAAUAUAUAGUUCUCUAGGUCAAUAAUAAAAGUAUUUGGUAACUCUAGAACCCUAAAACCAGAUUGGACAGUAAAACCUUGUAAAUUUCUCGUGCUAAACAAAAAUUCUAAAGUCACUAUUUGAGGCCAAUGAAAGUCUGGAUGUUCCAAAUAAUACUUUGACAAAAAAAAAAUGACUUAAUUGUCUAAGCUAAUAAAGCUGAAUUCACCACUCUCUAAUUAGUCAUAAAAUAUAGCAGCAAAGCCGUAAAAGGUCUUUUCCAAGAUUUUACAUGAUGGGUCAUCAUAAGUGAACACUAGUUCAAUAUCCAACACGGAAACUGCUCCCCAAGUGGUACAUCAGCAAAGCGCGACCAGAAACUAAUCCUUCUAUCCCACCACCCACAAAGUAAGAUUGAGGAACUACUGUAGUGAUUGUUUUUCUAAACACCUCCUCUAUACAGGAAAGCUCCUGAGGCAAAAACCCUCUCUCCAGCCAAACGAAAGACAACUGAAGACAACCCUCCUCCAAAGACUAAUUUCUACCACCAAAAUUCUCCAAAGCCAUUUACCCAACAAAGAUUGGUAGAAAGUGCCCUAUGUCUUGAAUGCCCAAGCCCAAGCCCAAGCCCAACCCAAUAGACCUAAGCAGCUCUAGAUAAAAAGGUCAUAUUUCCCUUUUAUCGUUACCUCUUUUGAAGUCUCUUGGUAAUUGGAUCCCAAAUGGCUCCGAAUUUAAAAGUGACAACCAAAGGUGAUGAGGAUGGAAGCAAAAGGAAUUUAAUAUUAUUGAGUUAUUAUUAUUUAUGGAUAAUUCCAACGUAAUUAGUUUAUUUAGUACAUAAUAUUAGGAUAUAUUUAAUUAUAUUAGUAGAAUAUUCAAGAGUAUUAAUUAUUUAAGGUAGUAGAUAAUUACUAGAAUUUUAUUUCCUUAUUUAAAUAGGUUACACAAUAUUUUAUUUAGCCUCCAAGUAUUAGAAUUUUCUUAUGCCUAUAUAAAAUGUUGUAAUCUAUGAUUAUUAAUUAUUGAAUCAUUGAUAUUAUUGAAUUAAAUCUUCUGAUUUGUGGCUUUUAGUCUUGUUAUCUUCUUUGAAUUCCCUUUAUUCUUUCAUCCAUCCUUGUGCUACAUCAAAAGGAAAGCACACUAAGACAUCAUAAAAGAACCAGCCGAACAACCCAAAUAGAAGCUAAAUUCUCCACAUUAUCCACCUAACCAACCGAAAACAUGGCACUUUUCUGCAAAUAAAUUCUCAAAACCAAAAAAUGCUUCAAAACAAAUCAGGAUACACCUCAAAGCCCACAAAUUCUCGGUUACUGCAUCAUAGAAAUUUCGGCAAUCAGAAGAUGAGAAACCAACAUUAAGGCCCUUCCCAACCUCCCAAUUGUAAAACCAUGAAUAAAAGCAUUUUUUUCAACCAACAUCCGUUGGGCCUAGAGGAAGAAGCCUGAUGCCCCUUAAGAAAUGUCUCGAGUUCGAGUCUUGUGAAUGGAAAAAACAGUUUUAAGGAGACACCCCCCCCCCCUCCCCCNNNNNNNNNNNNNNNNNNNNNNNNNNNNNNNNNNNNNNNNNNNNNNNNNNNNNNNNNNNNNNNNNNNNNNNNNNNNNNNNNNNNNNNNNNNNNNNNNNNNUCAAAAAAAAAAAAAACGAAAGAAUUUUUCAAUGAUUUUUCCGGAAAACAUGCUCAGAGUCCAUAACAAGAAGGAAAAGCAAGGAAAAUAAGAAAAUUCAAAGUAAGUGACAAAGACCCUAUUUUUCUAAGUGAAUCCUGAAAAAAGUUAUUCACGUUAAUUGGCACUAGAGAUCCUCACCCUCAAAGUAGUGAUGAGUGCAGUGAGCAAGCGCUUGAAGAUAAUGUUAGGAGCAUGUUAGUGGCUCCUAUUAGUAAAGGCCAAUAAAAAGUAUAAAUUUGAGAAUCAUGUAUUUUAUUUUCAUGAAAAUCAUCUCUUCUUUUUUUUGUCAAUUCUACCCUAAUCUACUUUUUCUUCCUUCCAUAACUCUUAAUCUAGUCUGAAUUAUCUUUUAUUAAGUUCAAAUCAUUAUAAGGAUCCUCAUUGAUCCAAAAAGAGCACCCAAUGCAUAUAUAUGUUGAAUUGUCAAAGUUCUUAUAAAUAGGUAUGGUAAGUGGUAACAGGUAUGGUCCGGGCGACCCCUUCUCAUACCCUCCCCGCCAAUAACUAGCUAUCCCCCGAACCCGACCCCGUAAACAAUAUCUCAUACUCACCUCGUUUACCCGAUUACUUCGUUAUUUACCAAAUUAAAAGUUUUUACUCUUUUUAUAUUACUUUGUACAACUACUUUAAAUUCAAAAUCAAACAUACAAUAUUUCUAUUACUAGCAACAUAUUAUAUUAUUAACGUAAUGAAUUUAAAAUGAAAUAACCUAAACAAGUACAUAAUUAUAUAUAUACAAAAUACUAAUUAAAAUAUAUAAAUAUAUACGUAAAAUCGGGUUAGGGUGGGGGUGAGGGGUAUAUCCCAUAGCCGACCCUUAUAGGAUUUAAAAAAUUGGGUCCCAUCGAGAUCGGGCGGGCCCCGUCAANNNNNNNNNNNNNNNNNNNNNNNNNNNNNNNNNNNNNNNNNNNNNNNNNNNNNNNNNNNNNNNNNNNNNNNNNNNNNNNNNNNNNNNNNNNNNNNNNNNNAAUAGGAUCGGGAUCGGGCGGGCCCCGUCAGGUUCGAGUGAAAUUAUCAGGCCUUAUAAAUGGUAUCAUAUGAUCUUAUUGAGUUAAUAAAGCAUGGAAUAAAUCAUGAAAUAAAUCAUAUAGCUAAGACGUAAAUGUAAAAUGUAUUAUGUAUAUUAGCAUGGUUAAACAUGUUUUUGUUGUUAAUCAUGAAACAGUUUUUUAAUAACUAAGUAGCUACUGAACUAGUACUUGAGAAUCAUGGACUCGCACAAUGAUAUGUAGAACAUGCCAAGUAAUUAUGAUGGUUUUGUGAAAAUGACAUGCCUGACCAUGCAAAGUAAAUAUGGUAGUUAACGGAGACCUUGUAUAAUACAAUAUAAAUUAGCAUGCUCUAUAUGACAAUGAAUUGACUGUUAAUCAUGGUUUAAUUAUAAUUUUAUGGUUAUUUGAUAUUUGGAGUAGUUAGGUUAAGUCCGGUGUUACCUCGAAUGUGGUUCAUUCCAGUACAUGGUACAAAUACGGGUACAUGGUACUAAUGGUCGAAAAAGCGAUCGAGGCGUGCGCCUCGAGAGGUUUGGGCUUUAUUCAGUUGAGGCUUACGCCUCAUAGCCUUGCGCCUCGAAGCGUAUCAUCAGUUCUUCUUCUUCUUGGUGACAGGUUCAGUUCUUCUUCUACUCUUUCUCUCUCUUCGUCUCUCUGUUUUUGGAAAAGGAAAAGAAAUAGUAUCAGAUUUAUCAUCUACCGUCUGAGUAAAU
This 6235-nucleotide long non-coding RNA is filed under the name Panax ginseng (ginseng). Its description in RNAcentral is "long non-coding RNA (PGIN_LNC013456)". Lineage: Eukaryota; Viridiplantae; Streptophyta; Magnoliopsida; Apiales; Araliaceae. The record is from RNAcentral.